RNAcentral lists this ribosomal RNA (366 nucleotides) under Escherichia coli. RNAcentral's name for it is "partial 23S ribosomal RNA". It matches the Rfam family "Bacterial large subunit ribosomal RNA", at positions 614 to 980 of the family's 2925-position model. Lineage: Bacteria; Pseudomonadati; Pseudomonadota; Gammaproteobacteria; Enterobacterales; Enterobacteriaceae. The record is from RNAcentral.
AAUGGGUCAGCGACUUAUAUUCUGUAGCAAGGUUAACCGAAUAGGGGAGCCGAAGGGAAACCGAGUCUUAACUGGGCGUUAAGUUGCAGGGUAUAGACCCGAAACCCGGUGAUCUAGCCAUGGGCAGGUUGAAGGUUGGGUAACACUAACUGGAGGACCGAACCGACUAAUGUUGAAAAAUUAGCGGAUGACUUGUGGCUGGGGGUGAAAGGCCAAUCAAACCGGGAGAUAGCUGGUUCUCCCCGAAAGCUAUUUAGGUAGCGCCUCGUGAAUUCAUCUCCGGGGGUAGAGCACUGUUUCGGCAAGGGGGUCAUCCCGACUUACCAACCCGAUGCAAACUGCGAAUACCGGAGAAUGUUAUCACGG